Ornithodoros turicata is the source of this 1051-nucleotide long non-coding RNA. RefSeq lists it as uncharacterized. The transcript has 2 exons. The record is from RefSeq and is a predicted model, not a curated record. Lineage: Eukaryota; Metazoa; Arthropoda; Arachnida; Ixodida; Argasidae.
AAUUCCUCGGGGAUAGAAGUAGGGACACAAACUGACACUGUGUGUCUGUGUCAGUUCUCAGAGCGCAUUUCGUUGCAGUGUACAGCGUGUUCACAACGUUAUUUCCGAAUGGAGGUCCUCCGCGCUGUCUUACUGCACGGCUUUGCAGCUGUGGCCUGUCUGUUGUUAUCUUUUUUCUUUAUCUUUUGUGUACUGUCUAUUUUCUCCCCGGAUACUGCGUAGCUGUCUUUGCUACGCGAAUGGAACAUCCGUUCUUUUCUUGGAACUCAAAUUAACACCAGGGUUUAAACGUAUGCCCAAUUUUACGGAAUUUACUUACAGUGAGUCAACAACGCAGAGUGCGUGCGAACGAAUGUAUGAGAUACGGCGGUUCCUGAACGCUGCCAGCACAAGAAGCUGUCAGCAUACUUUAGAGCUAGCGCAGCAUAAAGAAUGACGAGAGAGAUACCAGUAUAGAAAAGACGUAUGGAUGAUGUAUGUUUGCGUGAAGGUGUUACCACCACCGUGACUGGCCAAAAGACAUCCCCUCCUUUCAGCAACAACAUGUAUACAUGCCCAGCGCUCGACAACCCUGGAAAGUCUUUUCCCUGUACAAGGAGCGUCCGCUUCCCGCGGAUCAAGCAGCUUCCGAAGAAUCACCCUGUACAAACGAGUGAGCUACACGUGCAGUGAAGACAACAAUGUGGUGGUGACCUAGUAGUUGACCUAGCAAGCCAGAAAGACAAGAAGUGUGACGUUGGUGGUGUAACCGCUUGCCAUAGCUCGCAAGCAGGGAAGAAAAAGACAGAGGCUGAGCCCCUUCAAGAACAAAAACCAUCAUGGUCUGCUGAUGUCCAUGGAAGACGACACUGCAGGGAGCAGGGGGUUCGGGAAUCGUGGACUGGAAACAUGGUCCCGAGCGUAGCUAUUCCUAAAGCCUCUGUAAUGAAUGCAUGAAUGAUUUCAGGAGCAUGAGGCUGCAGUUCCUGAUCUGUAAAUAAAAGCUUCGAUGUUGAUGUUGAUGUUGACAAAAAAAAAAAAAUUAGGAGAAAUAAAAGCUUCGAAAAGUGGC